UACUUAGAAAAACGCACUCUUCAAUUGUUGAUCACAGCUCAAAUUUUUUUGCGAACCAACUUUACAUAACAACCUAAUAAUAUCGUUAAUCGUGAACAGAUCUAAUUUCUGUAGCUCAAGUAUCCGAAUUUCAUAAAAAUCAAACAGAGCAUAAAUGAAACAGAUUGCGAAAAACUCGAACAAUCACGGAAACACAAUAAGAUUGUAAGAGUUGGUAUUACCAGAAAUUGAACAUCGUUUCAAGAUAUCGCCGACCAAAUCAAAGGAGAAUUGACUUUCGUAUUGAGCAAAACUCGAAUCUUUCUACUUCCUUCUUCCUUAGCAGAUCGGCAAAAAUAUUAACAACUUAAAUCCCGAAACCAGAGACCUCCGUGUUUAAGAGAGUUUCAACGAAAAUUCCAAUUCUUCGAUCUUUUCUCUUUCAUUUCAG
This 430-nucleotide long non-coding RNA is filed under the name Capsella grandiflora. Its description in RNAcentral is "long non-coding RNA (CGRA_LNC001446)". The record is from RNAcentral. Lineage: Eukaryota; Viridiplantae; Streptophyta; Magnoliopsida; Brassicales; Brassicaceae.